AGCGUAGACGGCUGUGUAAGUCUGAAGUGAAAGCCCGGGGCUCAACCCCGGGACUGCUUUGGAAACUAUGCAGCUAGAGUGUCGGAGAGGUAAGUGGAAUUCCCAGUGUAGCGGUGAAAUGCGUAGAUAUUGGGAGGAACACCAGUGGCGAAGGCGGCUUACUGGACGAUGACUGACGUUGAGGCUCGAAAGCGUGGGGAGCAAACA
This 207-nucleotide ribosomal RNA is filed under the name uncultured bacterium. Its description in RNAcentral is "partial 16S ribosomal RNA". It matches the Rfam family "Bacterial small subunit ribosomal RNA", at positions 568 to 774 of the family's 1533-position model. The record is from RNAcentral.